RNAcentral lists this ribosomal RNA (357 nucleotides) under Triticum aestivum (bread wheat). RNAcentral's name for it is "partial small subunit ribosomal RNA". Lineage: Eukaryota; Viridiplantae; Streptophyta; Magnoliopsida; Poales; Poaceae. The record is from RNAcentral.
AUGCGCAGCUACGACGAAGACUCGCAGCCGCUAGCUGCAACACUGUCGGCGCCCGGACGGCGGCCGUGCGCGUCCCAGACCGAUCAGUACCGGCGCGCUGCGCGCGCAGCCAUCCUCCCUUUGCCAUGGCCGCGGACGCAGGAGAACACCCGGAACGCGCGCGAGAGCGACCCGAUCUUGCUCUUCUUGGUCUUGGUCUUUUUGGUCUUGCCGCCGCGGGCCGGCCCGACCACGCGCCGCCACAGCGCCUCUAGCGACGUCGGCGCCCUCCUCCUGGCCGCCGGCCUCGUCGUCGCCGCCUUCUUCCUCAUCCACAUCUUGCGGCCGGUCGAACGUAUACAACGCAAAGCUUCUUGA